CAGUCGCCGCGGUAAUACGGAGGGUGCAAGCGUUAAUCGGAAUUACUGGGCGUAAAGCGCACGCAGGCGGUCUGACAAGUCAGAUGUGAAAUCCCCGGGCUCAACCUGGGAAUGGCAGUGGAUACUGGCAAGCUAGAGUGUGUCAGAGGAUGGUGGAAUUCCCGGUGUAGCGGUGAAAUGCGUAGAGAUCGGGAGGAACAUCAGUGGCGAAGGCGGCCAUCUGGGACAACACUGACGCUGAGGCACGAAAGCGUGGGGAGCAAACAGGAUUAGAUACCCCGGUAGUCCCUGUCUCUUAUAA
Molecule: ribosomal RNA, 301 nt
Filed under: uncultured bacterium
Lineage: Bacteria
Description: partial 16S ribosomal RNA
Rfam family: Bacterial small subunit ribosomal RNA
Source: RNAcentral